Long non-coding RNA from Rhagoletis zephyria (snowberry fruit fly), 158 nucleotides. RefSeq lists it as uncharacterized. Lineage: Eukaryota; Metazoa; Arthropoda; Insecta; Diptera; Tephritidae. The record is from RefSeq and is a predicted model, not a curated record.
GUGCGUUGCAGAGUAACAAUAUGGGUAUCAAUUAAGAGGAAAAAUUCUGUAGAAUUGAAAACAAAAAUUGAUUGUUUGGUGCACCAGGACAAAUAAGUGUUGAAAAUGUCCUUUUAAAACCUUAUCCUUGAAUAUCCUUGGAAAUUUCCAAUAUUUAU